AGCGGGGGAGUAGCAAUACUCCCGCCGGCGACCGGCGCACGGGUGAGUAACACGUAUGAAACCUGCCCGUAGCAGGGGGGGAUAAGCGGAAGAAAUUCCGUCUAAUACCGCGUAACAACCCUUGGAGGCAUCUCCUCGGGUUUAAAGGAAGCGAUCCCGGCUACGGAUGGUCAUGCGUCGCAUUAGCUGGUUGGCGGGGUAACGGCCCACCAAGGCGACGAUGCGUAGGGGUUCUGAGAGGAAGGUCCCCCACACUGGUACUGAGACACGGACCAGACUCCUACGGGAGGCAGCAGUGAGGAAUAUUGGUCGAUGGCCGCAGGGCUGAACCAGCCAAGUCGCGUGAGGGAUGACGGUCCUAUGGAUUGUAAACCUCUUUUGUCAGGGAGCAAAGGGCGCCACGUGUGGCGCUUUGCGAGUACCUGAAGAAAAAGCAUCGGCUAACUCCGUGCCAGCAGCCGCGGUAAUACGGAGGAUGCGAGCGUUAUCCGGAUUUAUUGGGUUUAAAGGGUGCGCAGGCGGAAUGUCAAGUCAGCGGUAAAAUUUCGGGGCUCAACCCCGUCGUGCCGUUGAAACUGGCGUUCUUGAGUGAGCGAGAAGUAUGCGGAAUGCGUGGUGUAGCGGUGAAAUGCAUAGAUAUCACGCAGAACUCCGAUUGCGAAGGCAGCAUACCGGCGCUCAACUGACGCUCAUGCACGAAAGCGUGGGUAUCGAACA
RNAcentral lists this ribosomal RNA (717 nucleotides) under uncultured bacterium. Its description in RNAcentral is "bacterial SSU rRNA". It matches the Rfam family "Bacterial small subunit ribosomal RNA", at positions 67 to 774 of the family's 1533-position model. The record is from RNAcentral.